RNAcentral lists this ribosomal RNA (1065 nucleotides) under Triticum aestivum (bread wheat). Its description in RNAcentral is "partial small subunit ribosomal RNA". The record is from RNAcentral. Lineage: Eukaryota; Viridiplantae; Streptophyta; Magnoliopsida; Poales; Poaceae.
AUGCUUCAUUUCGCUUCGAGCCAGGGCUGCCUGGUGAGCUUCCGGUUCCUGGUGGCGGAGGCGGGGCUUGAUGUCAACUCGGAGUCAAAUACAGGCGUGACACCCAUGUUCUUCGCCGCACUCCAGGGGAAUGUCCAAGUUAGUGGCCCUGCGAUGCCCGACGAGAGGGGCUCCACGCCGCUGUACAGUGCAGCAGCAGCAGGGCACUGUGAGGCUGUAUGGCUAUUGCUGUCCAAAGGAGUUCAUGUGGAUCCUAUCGAUUACCGAGGGACACUAUUACACUUGGCUGCUGUGAAGGACCACGAUCAGGUUGUAAUGGUUCUACUGGAGCAUGGGGCUGAUCCCAAUAAAGCUGCCCAUCACGUAUUUUCACCACUCAUGAUGACUGUCUGUGGGAAGUCCUUGAAAUGCAUGAGGCUACUUAUUGAGGCUAGUACCGAUGUGAGCGUUCGUGAUUACUCUGGACCAACUCCUUUAAUGGAGGCUGUUGAUGAUGGCUUAACCGGCUUUGUCAAGAUCUUGCUAGAUGCUGGAACCAACCCUAACAUCCCUAACCAGCAUGGAGCAAUUCCUAUCGAGCUAGCAGCAGAUAGUGGUCGACACAAGCUUGUUCAAAUUCUGUUACCUAGGACAAAACCAUUUAAAUCUCUGCCAUAUUGUAGUGUUGGUGGGACAAUUACAACUCUGAAUUCUACAAAAAUCAAUGCUCCUCAGUUUGGUAAUGCAGGAUUAGAUGUUCCACGAGCUGCAGGCCAAACCAUGAAAGCAAUUAUGGAACUACUGAGAGUUUGUACUAUGUACCUGUUGCUGGUCUUUUUGCUUGCCAUCCUUCUAUUAUCUACUGGGGUGCAUUCCAUCACACAUGAUACAAGUUUCAAUGAGGGCACUUGUCGAUAUGACAUGAUCAGUGUUGCAGUCCUCUCAUGCAUGCAACCGGACAAGUCAUGGAAGUCACCCUCAGUCUCAUGCUGCAAAGCACUGACACAUGCAAUUGAUGAGUUGCCGGCUGGCGGUGAGAAUGGAAAGUGUUGUUUAUGCCGUUUCAUGAGGGCUUCAUUAUCCUGA